RNAcentral lists this transfer-messenger RNA (338 nucleotides) under Paracoccaceae bacterium. Its description in RNAcentral is "Rhodobacteraceae bacterium transfer-messenger RNA". It matches the Rfam family "Alphaproteobacteria transfer-messenger RNA". Rfam says of the family: Bacterial tmRNA, also known as 10Sa RNA or SsrA, is named for its dual tRNA and mRNA-like properties. Its role is to liberate the mRNA from a stalled ribosome. The record is from RNAcentral. Lineage: Bacteria; Pseudomonadati; Pseudomonadota; Alphaproteobacteria; Rhodobacterales; Paracoccaceae.
GGAGUUGAAAAAUAAUGAGAAUAGUGUAUGAUUAUAUUGUUUCUUUACGAGACUAUGGUGAUAAACGCGCAUGUAAUAAGCGGAUCGGACCCGGGGGCGGUACCCGGCGGCUCCACCAAAUAGUGAUUGAGGGGCCGAAAUAGGAUCGACGAACGUGUAAAGAUGAUAGCUUUUACUCGGCUGGAUGCCACCGUUAUCGGCGCAAAAAAUAUAAUUGCAAAUGACAAUUAUGCUCCGGUUGCAGUUGCUGCAUAAGCAGUAAUUAACUGGAAAUUAAGUCCAGUUUUCUAGCAAAAAUUGGCGGGGUUCGUAGGCACCUGGCAACAGAAGCCUACACA